Misgurnus anguillicaudatus (oriental weatherfish) is the source of this 3824-nucleotide long non-coding RNA. RefSeq lists it as uncharacterized. The record is from RefSeq and is a predicted model, not a curated record. Lineage: Eukaryota; Metazoa; Chordata; Actinopteri; Cypriniformes; Cobitidae.
AGUAUGGCUGUGUGACAAUAUGGUUUGUUUCUAUUUAUAAAACAGUUCCAGUCCUUGAUUCUGAUUGGUCAAUAGUUGUACUUUACUCCACUUUGCGUUGUGCCUAAUACGAAAAGGCAGCCCCUCGUACCUCACUGCUUACUUAAGUAUCAGUUUUACACAUUUAGUAUCAGGGGGUCCCUGCUCCAUGCCUCUCUCAUCUAAGGGGUCCCCGACCCAAAAAACAUUGAAGACCCCUGAUUUAACACAUUAUAGGGCUUUUCACACCUGAAAUUGUUAACCCUGGGUUAUUCUAAAACCAGGGUUAACGGAAUCCUGGGUUAUUUUUUUCAUGUUUCACACUGUUCAAACUUAACCAGGGGUUAAGAGAUAACCCUGGGUAUUCAUAAUUUGACGUUUCACACUGUGCAUUCCUAAACCCUGGAUCAGGAGUCUCCAACCCAGUUUCAACACACCUGUCUGUAAUUAUCAAGCCUUGAUUAGCUACUUCAGCUGUGUUUAAUUAGGGUCAUAACAUUCUAACCCUGCUUCGUUUCACACUGCAUGCGUUUGGCACCACAAUGCGGGGUUAACACCACAAAUGUGGUGCCAACCCUGCUCCAGAGCAGGGUUUCAUAACCCUGGGUAAAAAGCGGUGCUAACACCGCUUUCAAAUUACAGGUGUGAAACGCACCUUAACCCAGGGUUAAAAGCAGGGUUUAGAAAGAAGAUAACCCAGGGUUAAGCACAGUGUGAAAACCCCUUAUGUGUUCAUUUUAACACAUUGUAGGGGUUUUCAUGGUUACCACAAAAUAUCCAUGGUUUUGACAAAAUUGAUAGUAAUCAAUACACCAAAAAACCAUGGUUCUGUAAGGGUUUUGUCUUGUGUUCUGUUUGUUUUGUUGUCAGGUCUUUUAUUUUGAUAUCAUAUUCUGUUUCCAGUCUUUUAUUUUGAAAUCUUGUCAUGUCACACUUCACUUUUUACUUCCUGUUUGUUCACUAUAAAUCUGGUUCAUUGAUAUCAUAUCACUGCAAAGUAUUGUAUGUGUAACAGCUACCUUGCCGAGUGGUCCUUGUCUUGUUUCUUGUUCUGGAUCUUGUUCAUGGUUUUGACCCUUGCCUGGAGUUUUGGAUUACGUUUGUGUAUUGCCCUAUUGGAUUUGUUUGCCUGCCUGUGUGGAUUUACUUUUUAAUAAACCUCCUGCACAUGGAUUUGUCUCUUUCUCUUUCUCGCCAUAUCAGAAUCCAGCUGAGGUUUAUAAUUUCCAGCCGGCAGCAUGAAUCCAGCGUUUGCGCUAUUUGAAUUAUGCCAGGACAAUCGGCUAAAGUCAUUCCUGUCUCUAAGAUGGCCGCCAGCAUGCCUGUCACUAAGAUGGCUGACACAAUGCCUGUCUCUAAAAUGGCCGUCACCAAGCAAGUCUCUGCACCCAAGAUGGCUGUCAUGUUACCUGCACCUGCUUUUAAGAUGGCUACCGCCUUACCUGCACCUGUUACCCAAAGAGCCAUUGCCACGACCACACCUGUCUUAAAGAGGGCUGUUGUUACCCCUGCACCUGCUAUCAAAAUGAGCCGUGAGGCUCUGCAGAGAGUGGUGCGCUCAGCUGAACGUACCAAUUAUCAAUGAAAUAAUUUCUGACCAAAACUUAGAUGCACUCUGUCUAACAGAGACCUGGCUUAAAGCAGACGAUUACAUCAGUUUAAACGAAUCCACCCCACAAGACUAUUACUAUAAACACGUUCCUCGUCUAAAAGGGAGAGGGGGUGGUGUAGCUACAAUCAGGGGUGGACUGGCCAUCGGGAGUUCCGGGAGCAAUCCCAAACGGCCGGUCCAUUUCAGGCCGAACCGGCCGGAGGUCAAAAAGUUUUUUUUUAAUGCCUGACCAGGCGCUCAGCUGCAGCGGAACGCUGUGUCUGUUUCAGACCGGGCCAAACCAAUUCUUCAAAUCUUGAGGGGAGAUAAGAGCGGCCCCUCCCAACUUGGACUGAUCCUCGGUUUUCCUCACAUCCGAUUGGCUCAAAGGCGCCGAGCAAAAGAGUUUACUUUUGGUCAGGUUUGGAUUCGUGUGAAUGCAACAAAGACAAGACGGUAAAAAUUGCGAAAAGAAGAGAAAGAAAUGGGUGGGGCCUAAAACAUAAAAAUGUUGGCACAAGAGGCAGCUAAAUGCGCCAAAUUAACAGACCUUUUUCGCAGUCAAAAGGACGCUGUGGCAGGAGGUGCAGAUGAGGAAGGACCAGCAGCAUGGAGAGGACAGCUGUUAAGGUCACUGAUGGAGAGAGACAGGUUGAUGAUGACUCUUGCAGUCAUAUUGAUGAGGAGGAGGAAGGAAAGCAGAACAAGAGGAGGAGGAGAAUGGAACCAGUACAAAAACAGUGAUGGCUGUACAAUCAGUAAGCAGAGGCAGGGUCCAGCACAGGGGAAGUGGAGCCUGGGAGAGUUGAAAGUGAGUACGUACACACACAAUCUCUAUUUUAUAGGACUGUAUUGUAGUUUUUGAUUAUCUGAGUGGGUAUGUGUGAGUAAUUGUAACAAUUUUAUCACUCCAACUGACUGUACACAUGACAUGCUGGAAGUUAGCAGUAUACUGUGACUUAUGUGUUCGAGAUUAGGUUUUGCUGACCUGGUUGUGUUUAGUGCAGUGGUGACUUGCUUAUACAACCUGAGGAGGCAGGUGUUAUCCUAAAGUUUCUUUUAGGUCUUCAGCAUAAUCUGAUUCUCUUCAAGUUCAUACCAUAAAAACACUACUAGAAUUAAAAUAACUGCAAAAAAGCCUGCUCGUGCACCAAGGGCACUCGCGUAAAAGGCCUCUCCAUCUUAAAGUCCCGGGCUGAAUUUCAGUCCCAGUACGUCCCUGGCUACAAUAUACAACAAAAUAUUUAAAGUAAACCAUAAAUCUGAAUUAAAAUUUAAUUUGUUUGAAAUAAUACUGUUAAAUAUGGAAAUAACUGAUCGUAACAACAAACAGCUUUCGUUCAUCUUAGCUACCAUAUAUAGGCCUCCGGGCCACCACACAGAUUUUCUUAAAGAAAUAGCCGACUUCCUGUCUGAACUCACAGUCACGAUAGAUAAAGCUCUUAUCGUUGGUGAUUUUAAUAUUCAUGUGAAUAACCCAAAAGAUGCAUUAGGACGUGCGUUUAUGGAUGUUCUUAAUUCUCUCGGUAUUAAACAAAACGUAUCGGGGCCAACGCAUACUCGUAAGCACACAUUAGACUUAAUUCUGUCACUCGGACUCAAUAUUAAUGAUAUCGAAAUAUCACCCCAGAGCGAUGCCAUUUCAGACCAUUGCCUGGUGUCUUACACAAUACUUCUAGAUAGGACCCCUCAGUCUACAACAUGCUACAGAUUAGCCAGAGCAAUAAUUUCCACCACUAAAGAUAGCUUUAUUAGCACUCUUCCAGACCUGUCUCAAAUGAAACAUGUAGCAGAUAACAAUGAAGAUCUGGAUAUUAUAAUAGAAAACCUGAACAACGUUUGCACUAGCACAUUGGAUGCCGUUGCUCCCAUUCGAAAAAAGAGAAUCAAAGAAAAAACGGCAGCUCCAUGGUAUGAUCAUCAUACUGCAGCCCUUAAAAAAGUAGGCAAGGCAAGGCAAGGCAAGUUUAUUUGUAUAGCACAUUUCAUACACAGAGAUCAUUCAAAGUGCUUUACACAGAAAUGAGAAAACAAUAUAUAAAAAUAAGAUUUACAAAGAUACAUGAGAAUUUAAAAUAACAAUUAAAGAAAAUAAAUGUGAUUUUAAUAAAACAGUUUAAAAUGUUAAAAAGAAUAAAACAGAUGUAAAAGUGGCUUGAGUUAAAAGUGCAGUCAGUGUGAAGCAGCACAGUGCUCAUUCAGUAAAUGCAGAGUU